UUGAAAGGGAAACGAUUGAAGUCAGUCGUACCGACGAGAAAUCAGCUUAUCGUGUGUGAACUUGUGGGCGUGCGUGAGUUUCGGCCUCGCUGUUUGCAUGUUUGUGCGCUUUGGGUGUACUUUUUCGUAUGGUUGGCCAACGUCAGUUUCGAUUACUAUAAAAUGACCGGCGGAAUGUAGCUUCGAUUUCGGUUGAAGUGUUAUAGCCUCUGGUAGAUGUGGUGAUUGGGACUGAGGAUUGCAACGAAUAUCCUUUUGGGCUAUCCGUCUGGCCUCUGAAA
RNAcentral lists this ribosomal RNA (281 nucleotides) under uncultured Glomeromycotina. Its description in RNAcentral is "partial 25S ribosomal RNA". Lineage: Eukaryota; Fungi; Glomeromycota. The record is from RNAcentral.